Molecule: non-coding RNA, 21 nt
Filed under: Caenorhabditis elegans
Lineage: Eukaryota; Metazoa; Nematoda; Chromadorea; Rhabditida; Rhabditidae
Source: RNAcentral
UUCUGCCAAUAAAUGUUAUGA